GGUAACAAUUAUACCCUAGUCACAAAAAUGUGCGGAUCCUGCCAGGAAAUCGGGUUGGGUUUUGGGUCAAAUGAAACAACACCGUUUCAGGUGCCCAUCCCUUAAAAUGGUCUAAAGACCAAAACGAAAUAAAAUGGCAAAAUAAAAAAUAAAAAAAGCAAGAUAUGACUAGAUUGAAACAAGCCAAAAAAGCGGAAGGACCAAAGGAGCAAAUAGACCACUUUACAAAAACAUGCGGAUCCCAGAGGAUUCGGGUCGGGUAAUCGAGUUGGGCCUGGAUGAAACGACACCAUUUCACCAAGCCUAUUUAAAUUAAAAAAAUUUCAAAAAAUUCAUUUCAGCCCCCUGUUUUAAAAAAACUGAAAACCCUUUUUUUUUGUUCUGAAAUCGCCCUAGGGCCAGCCUUCAAGUCUGGCAAACCCCACACAACGGUCACCCCCCUUUUUUAACCCCAAGA
This 457-nucleotide long non-coding RNA is filed under the name Gossypium raimondii (Peruvian cotton). RNAcentral's name for it is "long non-coding RNA (GRAI_LNC003461)". The record is from RNAcentral. Lineage: Eukaryota; Viridiplantae; Streptophyta; Magnoliopsida; Malvales; Malvaceae.